GGGGGUGAGUUUGGAAACUCAGUGUACAACAAGCCCCUUUUAGAGCCCAAAACAGUAAUAGCCUGUUGCACCUAAGCCCAAAUCCAAUCUCAACAUGUACUGGGUCGUAGCCCUUUUCAUAUUUCAUAUUUCAUAACACUGGGCCAAAGCCUUUUCAUAUUUCACAUUAUUGGGCCGAAGCCUUUACUGUAAACGGUAUGGCCCAUAGGCCCAUUUCAGUAUCACAUGUAAUGCCAAUGAGAGAAUGCAAGCCCAUUUGGGGAGACUACUCAACCCACCAUCCGCU
RNAcentral lists this long non-coding RNA (286 nucleotides) under Gossypium barbadense (sea-island cotton). RNAcentral describes it as "long non-coding RNA (GBAR_LNC004581)". Lineage: Eukaryota; Viridiplantae; Streptophyta; Magnoliopsida; Malvales; Malvaceae. The record is from RNAcentral.